UAGUUAGAGUGCCACUCUGCAGAAUGAAGACAAGCAGAGCUAAGCAAGGAGGCAGGGAAGCCAAGGGCCUCAGGGAGCACAGAAUUCAGUCCUUGGUUCCUGUAGCUUUUCUUUUGAUCCUUUGAGCUAUCCCAGUAUAUCCCAGUAGUUGUUUUUAGCUACAUGAGCCACUAAAUUACCUAUUUUUGCUUAGGUUAGAGCUGGAUUUUUGUUGCUUCUGAAAUACUUUUAUUAACAACUGAGAAAAGUAAACAAAGUGCUGUGAAAUAUCUUUUGUAAAAUGAAUAAUUUUGAAAUUUUGUCUCUUCUAGAUUGUUGGACCUUCAGAUGGAAGUAGUUACAUUAUAGAUUACUAUGGAACCAGACUUACAAGACUGAGUAUUACUAAUGAAACAUUUAGAAAAACGCAAUUAUAUCCAUAAAUAUUUUUUAAAAGAAACAGAUUUGAGCCUCCUUGAUUUUAAUAGAGAACUUCUAGUGUAUGGAUUUAAAGAUUUCUCUUUUUCAUUCAUAUACCAUUUUAUGAGUUCUGUAUAAUUUUUUGUGGUUUUUGUUUUGUUGAGUUAAAGUAUAUUAUUGUGAGAUUUAUUUAAUAGGACUUCCUUUGAAAGCUGUAUAAUAGUGUUUCUCGGGCUUCUGUCUCUAUGAGAGAUAGCUUAUUACUCUGAUACUCUUUAAUCUUUUACAAAGGCAAGUUGCCACUUGUCAUUUUUGUUUCUGAAAAAUAAAAGUAUAACUUAUUCA
RNAcentral lists this long non-coding RNA (744 nucleotides) under Homo sapiens (human). RNAcentral's name for it is "non-protein coding lnc-KANK4-7:8". Lineage: Eukaryota; Metazoa; Chordata; Mammalia; Primates; Hominidae. The record is from RNAcentral.